RNAcentral lists this ribosomal RNA (253 nucleotides) under uncultured bacterium. Its description in RNAcentral is "partial 16S ribosomal RNA". It matches the Rfam family "Bacterial small subunit ribosomal RNA", at positions 524 to 776 of the family's 1533-position model. The record is from RNAcentral.
UACGUAGGUGGCAAGCGUUAAUCGGAAUUACUGGGCGUAAAGCGUGCGCAGGCGGUUCUCCAAGUCCGUUGUGAGAGCCCCGGGCUCAACCUGGGAAUGGCAGUGGAAACUAGGGGACUGGAAUCUGGCAGAGGGGGGUGGAAUGCCGCGUGUAGCAGUGAAAUGCGUAGAGAUGCGGCGGAACACCGAUGGCGAAGGCAGCCCCCUGGGCUGAGAUUGACGCUCAGGCACGAAAGCGUGGGGAGCAAACAGG